CCCCUCUUAGGGUUGCACCUGGAGAGUUUCCAGUACUGUACCAGUCUCGAGUCUAGGAGGGAGAGUCAAGCAGAGGCCUACCUAUUCCAUUCCCAGCUUGGCCAGUGGCUAGUGAGUGGGAGGAAAUCUGCUACAAGU
Molecule: small nucleolar RNA, 138 nt
Organism: Ornithorhynchus anatinus (platypus)
Lineage: Eukaryota; Metazoa; Chordata; Mammalia; Monotremata; Ornithorhynchidae
Source: RefSeq, a predicted model, not a curated record